RNAcentral lists this ribosomal RNA (494 nucleotides) under uncultured bacterium. RNAcentral describes it as "partial 16S ribosomal RNA". It matches the Rfam family "Bacterial small subunit ribosomal RNA", at positions 28 to 507 of the family's 1533-position model. The record is from RNAcentral.
GACGAACGCUGGCGGCGUGCUUAACACAUGCAAGUCGAACGGGAAGGCCUGCUUUCCCUUGUGGAUUGCGGGUACUCGAGUGGCGAACGGGUGAGUAACACGUGAGUGAUCUGCCCCCAACUUGGGUAUAAGCCUGGGAAACUGGGUCUAAUUCCCGAUAGGACUGCAGGGUGGUGCCUGUGGUGGAAAACGAUUUUCUAGUGGUUGGGGAUGAGCUCGCGGCCUAUCAGCUUGUUGGUGGGGUAAUGGCCUACCAAGGCGGCGACGGGUAGCCGGCCUGAGAUGGUGGACGGCCACAUUGGGACUGAGAUACGGCCCAGACUCAUACGGGAGGCAGCAGUGGGGAAUAUUGCACAAUGGGCGGAAGCCUGAUGCAGCGACGCCGCGUGGGGGAUGACGGCCUUCGGGUUGUAAACUCCUUUCGACCGCGAGGAAGCCACCUGGUUGGAAGGGUGGUGACGGUAGUGGUAGAAGAAGCACCGGCUAACUACGUG